CAGCCCCUCGAGUGGUGGGGAUGAUUAUUUGGCCUGAAGCGUCCGUAGCCGGCCGAGUAAGUCCCCCGUUAAAUCCAGCGUCUCAAGCGUUGGACUGCGGGAGAUACUACUUGGCUAGAGAGUGGGAGAGGUGUGCGGUAUUCUGGGGGUAGGGGCGAAAUCCUUUGAUCCCCGGAGGACCACCAGUGGCGAAGGCUGCACACUAGAACACGUCUGACGGUCAGGGACGAAAGCUGGGGUAGCGAACCGGAUUAGAUACCCGAGUAGUCC
RNAcentral lists this ribosomal RNA (270 nucleotides) under uncultured archaeon. RNAcentral describes it as "partial 16S ribosomal RNA". It matches the Rfam family "Archaeal small subunit ribosomal RNA", at positions 477 to 747 of the family's 1478-position model. The record is from RNAcentral.